CAUCGGGUAUGUCAAUGGUUGAGGGAUCUGUUGCUACAAUGUCUGCCCCAGAAUCAGUUGAAAGCCACGCCCUUCAGCUUCAUCCAUCUCCUCCGAGUCCGCUUCUUUCGCCAUCUCCAAUCACUUCAUCUCAUGAAACUUCUGAUACUGAGGUAGCAGGAACUAAUUCACCAUCAGCGACUUCAGCUUUGUCUUCACAGGGGAGCAAUAUUACGACAUUUUCUUUGACUCAGACGAACCCUUAUUCUUCACCUGCUCUGGCCGCACCUUCCCAGCCACCUUUGUGCAGGCCAUCCCUGUCACUUUCAAGUAACAUCCGGUCAUUUUCACCUCCUCCACCUCCCCCACCCCCUCCGCCUCCACCAUUAACUAGCUCGAGGAUGACUUCACUGGGUGCCUUUUCUCCUCCCCCACCACCACCACCUCCACCUCUGCCCUCAUCAUCCAGUGUAAUAAAUGUUGGUAGGGUCCCUCCACCACCCCUUUGGAUGGGGUAUGGGACUACCUCAGAAGUAGUAUCUAGUUCAUCACCACCUCCACCUCCACCUCCACCUCCUCCACCACCUCCUCCUCCUACACCUCCUACUCUUUCCCCACGAAUCCUACAUACCUCGCAAGUUGCUCCACCUCCACCGCCCCCACCACCACCACCUCCUUCAACCUACGUUCCCCCUCCUUUAUACAACACUCAAUCUGCACCAUCUCCACCACCUCCCCCUCCUUUUUCUAGAGCGCCAACUCCACCACCUCCCCCUCCCCCUCCUUUUUCUAGAGCGCCAACUCCGCCACCUCCCCCUCCCCCUCCUUUUUCUAGAGCGCCAACUCCGCCACCUCCCCCUCCCCCUCCUUUUUCUAGAGCGCCAACUCCGCCACCUCCCCCUCCCCCUCCUUUUUCUAGAGCGCCAACUCCACCACCACCACCUCCAUUGCCUGGAGCUCCACCUCCUCCUAUGCGGGGGCCUCCACCGCCUCCUCCUCCUCCUAUAUACACAUCCAAUUUACCAAGAUUGGCUAGCUUUGGGGGUUCCACAUCGCUGCCAC
Molecule: long non-coding RNA, 1041 nt
Filed under: Solanum tuberosum (potato)
Lineage: Eukaryota; Viridiplantae; Streptophyta; Magnoliopsida; Solanales; Solanaceae
Description: long non-coding RNA (STUB_LNC004158)
Source: RNAcentral